UACGGGGGGGGCAAGCGUUGUUCGGAAUUACUGGGCGUAAAGGGCUCGUAGGUGGCCAACUAAGUCAGACGUGAAAUCCCUCAGCUUAACUGGGGAACUGCGUCUGAUACUGGAUGGCUUGAGUUUGGGAGAGGGAUGCGGAAUUCCAGGUGUAGCGGUGAAAUGCGUAGAUAUCUGGAGGAACACCGGCGGCGAAGGCGGCAUCCUGGACCGACAUUGACGCUGAGGAGCGAAAGCUAGGGGAGCAAACGGG
Molecule: ribosomal RNA, 253 nt
Filed under: uncultured bacterium
Lineage: Bacteria
Description: partial 16S ribosomal RNA
Rfam family: Bacterial small subunit ribosomal RNA
Source: RNAcentral